GAUGAACGCUGGCGGCGUGCUUAACACAUGCAAGUCGAACGGUGAAGGAGAGCUUGCUCUCCGGAUCAGUGGCGAACGGGUGAGUAACACGUGAGCAACCUGCCCCGGACUCUGGGAUAACAGUUGGAAACAGCUGCUAAUACCGGAUACGAGCUGCGAAGGCAUCUUCAGCAGCUGGAAAGAAUUUCGGUCCGGGAUGGGCUCGCGGCCUAUCAGCUUGUUGGUGAGGUAAUGGCUCACCAAGGCGUCGACGGGUAGCCGGCCUGAGAGGGUGACCGGCCACACUGGGACUGAGACACGGCCCAGACUCCUACGGGAGGCAGCAGUGGGGAAUAUUGCACAAUGGGCGCAAGCCUGAUGCAGCAACGCCGCGUGAGGGACGACGGCCUUCGGGUUGUAAACCUCUUUUAGCAGGGAAGAAGCGAAAGUGACGGUACCUGCAGAAAAAGCGCCGGCUAACUACGUG
Molecule: ribosomal RNA, 466 nt
Filed under: uncultured bacterium
Lineage: Bacteria
Description: bacterial SSU rRNA
Rfam family: Bacterial small subunit ribosomal RNA
Source: RNAcentral